Molecule: long non-coding RNA, 1501 nt
Organism: Poecilia latipinna (sailfin molly)
Lineage: Eukaryota; Metazoa; Chordata; Actinopteri; Cyprinodontiformes; Poeciliidae
Exons: 7
Source: RefSeq, a predicted model, not a curated record
GGCGGUAAUGCACCGUAUUGUUGUUUGCCAACCGCCAUUAACAGUUAGUUGUAGAAGAACAGAUGGCGCGACAUGGUUUAGUGUAUUAUUUGUUCGAACCGGCAAGAAAAUACGACUAAAAUUUCAUUUUUAAGCUUCCCUUAAUAUAUAAAACUUAGUCAGAAAAAUUAGAAAAAGUCAAAGAGAGAGGAGGACGUACUCACCAGUCAACAAGACGAAACAAGAGGAACGUAUCUCAAGCAUAUAGCCUUGUGUCAUCAAAACAAGUUGUGACUAGGAGAAACGUAAAUGAAUGAGGCCACUCACGAAAGGAAAAACAACGUCGAUGGAGGAUAGGACAGAAGAGGAAAGACAAGAGCUCAGUGAGAGGAAAGAAAAACACUGCAAGAAACAACAGCAAAAGUGACGCACACCAACUUCCCAGUCAGAGGUCGCUUGAUGCUUCGGCAGGAAAUUCGCCGUCUGUUUAAACUACAGCUAUUGUCUGUUUUGAAACACGUUCACGUGAAGCCCUUUCAGAGCUUGCGGCUACAUUGUGAAAAAGUUUCGCCUGUCGAAACAUGGAUCCAAAGUGAGGUUGGAGAUCGAAGGUCCUUUUUCCAUCAGUUACCAACGAAUGAAAGGACAAAGCAGUGAUGAGCCGCCAGAGAGGAAGCGUCAGCUUCGGUAAAAGGAUUAGGAGCGCUGCUGCAAGUGGAAUCAGCAAAUUUGCAAGUGGCAGAAGAUUCCUGUUGGGACAUUGAAACUUUUUCAAGGUUAAUCUGAUUAUGUUUUUAUGGGGGGUGUGAACAUCCCAGCAUGUAGUGACUGAAUGCGGUCGCUGCAUGCUUGCUCAGUGUAAGGGAUUGCUGUAAAGUCAAUGACACAAUAGAAGCGAUUGUCUAUGUGCUCCUCCAGGAGGACUGAACAUUACCGGUGACUCGACGCAAUCUGCUGGGUUUCCUUUGAUAGGAAACUUUAUAAACCAGUCUGAAUACUGAACUGAACCUGACUGCAUUGUUUGAUAACUGGGAUGAAUUAGAGCGUAUGUAUAAUUGGACUGAAAUGACUUUUUACUGUAAACACGACGCGUUGAGUCGGUGCGAUACAAAUAAGCUGGAUUGAAUUGAACUAUAAGGCCGCAAUCAGCCGGUUUUUAUGGAAAACAAGAGCACAGCAAUUUGCCAGGUUUCUCUUCCAUGUGCUUAGAAAAGUCUUGACAUCUGCUGGGCAUUUUAACACUGAAAGAAUAAACCUUAUAAUGUGCAGCUGUGUAGAUAUUACUGUGAUAAAUAGUUAGUUUUACAUUUUAUUUCUCAGAACUGUUUCAUAAUAUGAGAAGCUGCAAGUUGGAUCCAAAAAUCUUAUGGUAACUUCAGCUAAAAGCAAUUACAAGACAGUUUUUUUUUGUUUGUUUUCAAGCAAAUAUAAUCUAGACUAGAUGCAAAAAUACCACUGCCAUUUAUUUUGUGUUCCCCCUUUUUACUGCCUUUUCAAACAAUAAACAAUGCACUUAUCCCCA